GUCCCCGGCUGCCGGGUCUUUGAGCUUGACUUAGCCGCACCCCUGCCAGACCCCAUCCCAACCUCACUGACGUGGCUGAGUGCCUUCAGGGACCCCAAGAAAGGGUGGUGGGCAUGCCCUAGGUUGGAGGGGCCCAUGUGGGGGACAAUGGGAGUGACAUAGGUCUCUGUGCCCCAGGAGGUAUUUGACCGGUUGGUUAAAUUAAGGGCUGAAACACGUAGCGGCCAUGAUCAAACUUGCUUUGUCCAGAAAGCACUCUUUGGCGGGAAGAAUGGGCUGGAGGUAUGAAGGUGGAUGUGGACGUCCUUGUCAGCGCUGGAUCUUCUGUUCCAGCUCAUAGGAACUCAGAGAUGCCAGGAGACCCCGGGAUUCCUGAAGAAUCUCAGAUCCCUGAUGCCACCAGACCAUCAGUCCAGAAGUGCUUGCAGCUGGCUCCCCGAGGCAGCAGCAGAUGGAGCAAGUGUUGCUGAUGGAUUAAAGAGAAAUCUGGUGUGUCCCCAGAAGAACCGAAAACAGGGUCUCAGAGAUGUUCGCGCACCCAUGUCCACAGCAGCAUGACUCACAACAGCCCGAGGUGGAGAUGACCCAAGUGUCUGCCAAUGAAUGAAUGGGUGAACAAGAUGUGGUAGAAUUCAGCCAGGGAAAGGAAUGAAAUUUUGGCAACUGUGACAAUGUGGACGAACCUCGAAAACGUGGUGAAAGGAGCCAGGUACAAACGGACAAAUACUGGAUUCCGUUUAUGUGAAGUGCCCGGAAGAGGCAGAUCCAGAGACACAGAGAGGAGAUGGGCGGGGGUCCGGGGCUGGGGGACGGGCACGGGAGUUGUUGCUCGAUGGGGACAGAGGUGCUGUUUGUUUAUGUUCCACCUUUUUUACACAAUAAAAAACAUUUCAAGAAAAAGAAAUGCACCAUGACGCAAUGAGGUUUCCUGGCUGUCCCCAGGAGCCAGUGUGUGGCCAGGGCAGCUGAGGAGAAGCCCCUGUCACCCCUGGGCCAGCCCCGCCCUGUGUCUGAGGUUCUGGGACGCAGGACGCACUCAUGCACUCAGCCACCUCCCGGGAAGCAGGACUGGGGGGCCUGGCUGGCUUGCUCUUGGUGGUGGUUGACGAGCGGGGUGCAGGGGACCAUCACUUUCGG
This 1137-nucleotide long non-coding RNA is filed under the name Ursus thibetanus thibetanus. Its description in RNAcentral is "lncRNA (ENSUTTG00000003733.1)". Lineage: Eukaryota; Metazoa; Chordata; Mammalia; Carnivora; Ursidae. The record is from RNAcentral.